This 269-nucleotide ribosomal RNA is filed under the name uncultured bacterium. Its description in RNAcentral is "partial 16S ribosomal RNA". It matches the Rfam family "Bacterial small subunit ribosomal RNA", at positions 793 to 1055 of the family's 1533-position model. The record is from RNAcentral.
GUCCACGCCGUAAACGAUGAUAACUAGGUGUUGGGAGAUUUGACCCUUUCAGCGCCGCAGCUAACGCAUUAAGUUAUCCGCCUGGGGAGUACGGUCGCAAGACUAAAACUCAAAGGAAUUGACGGGGGCCCGCACAAGCGGUGGAGUAUGUGGUUCAAUUCGACGCAACGCGAAGAACCUUACCUGGGUUAGAAAUCAACCGGAAGGUCUGUAGAGAUAUGGAUCGUCCCCGCAAGGGGACCGGUUGACAGGUGUUGCAUGGCUGUCGU